Molecule: long non-coding RNA, 221 nt
Filed under: Gossypium barbadense (sea-island cotton)
Lineage: Eukaryota; Viridiplantae; Streptophyta; Magnoliopsida; Malvales; Malvaceae
Description: long non-coding RNA (GBAR_LNC003736)
Source: RNAcentral
CUGAUUUUACAUGCGUUACAGUUGAGGGAAGAUCCAUUAAAAAUCCUUUUAAUUUUUUCUCCUUUUUGGGUACAGAUCCAUGAUAUUCCAAUGGGGUUUUUCUCUGAAAGUUUGGCACAACAAUUAGGUAAUUUUUUGGGUAAGUUUUUGGAGUAUAAUAGUUCAGAUCUGGGGAGACAGGAUUGGAAUUUCAUGAUAAUUCGGGUUCAAUUGGACAUCUG